RNAcentral lists this ribosomal RNA (464 nucleotides) under uncultured bacterium. RNAcentral describes it as "partial 16S ribosomal RNA". It matches the Rfam family "Bacterial small subunit ribosomal RNA", at positions 28 to 506 of the family's 1533-position model. The record is from RNAcentral.
GAUGAACGCUGGCGGCGUGCUUAACACAUGCAAGUCGAACGGAAAGGCUCCUGCUUGCAGGGGUACUCGAUUGGCGAACGGGUGAGUAACACGUGGGUGAUCUGCCCUGCACUUCGGGAUAAGCCUGCGAAACUGGGUCUAAUACCGGAUAGGACGAUGGUUUGGAUGCCAUUGUGGAAAGUUUUUCGGUGUGGGAUGAGCUCGCGGCCUAUCAGCUUGUUGGUGGGGUAAUGGCCUACCAAGGCGUCGACGGGUAGCCGCACUGAGAGGGUGUACGGCCACAGUGGGACUGAGGUACGGCCCAGACGCAUACGGGAGGCAGCAGUGGAGAAUAUUGCAAAAUGGGCGGAGGGCUGAUGGAGGGACGCCGCGUGGGGGAUGACGGCGUUCGGGUUGUAAAAUCCUUUCGUCAGGGACGAAGCGAAAGUGACGGUACCUGGAUAAGAAGCACGGGCUAACUACGU